AACGAACGCUGGCGGCAUGCCUAACACAUGCAAGUCGAACGAGACCUUCGGGUCUAGUGGCGCACGGGUGCGUAACGCGUGGGAACCUGCCUUUAGGUUCGGAAUAACUCAGAGAAAUUUGAGCUAAUACCGGAUGAUGUCUUCGGGCCAAAGAUUUAUCGCCUUUAGAUGGGCCCGCGUUGGAUUAGCUAGUUGGUGGGGUAAAGGCCUACCAAGGCGACGAUCCAUAGCUGGUCUGAGAGGAUGAUCAGCCACACUGGGACUGAGACACGGCCCAGACUCCUACGGGAGGCAGCAGUGGGGAAUAUUGGACAAUGGGCGAAAGCCUGAUCCAGCAAUGCCGCGUGAGUGAUGAAGGCCUUAGGGUUGUAAAGCCCUUUUACCCGAGAUGAUAAUGACAGUAUCGGGAGAAUAAGCUCCGGCUAACUCCGUG
This 433-nucleotide ribosomal RNA is filed under the name uncultured bacterium. RNAcentral's name for it is "partial 16S ribosomal RNA". It matches the Rfam family "Bacterial small subunit ribosomal RNA", at positions 29 to 507 of the family's 1533-position model. The record is from RNAcentral.